This 1074-nucleotide long non-coding RNA is filed under the name Oncorhynchus mykiss (rainbow trout). Its description in RNAcentral is "lncRNA (ENSOMYG00000062759.1)". The record is from RNAcentral. Lineage: Eukaryota; Metazoa; Chordata; Actinopteri; Salmoniformes; Salmonidae.
CUGGAGUGGGGCGCGCCAACGGACACGGGCGGCAGGGGGGACCUGACCUACAGCGUGGGCUGCCGCCGGUGCGUGGGGCUGCAGUGUGAGCCGUGCGGGGCCAGCGUGGGCUUCAUGCCCCAGCAGAGCGGGGUGACCGAGCGCACGGUGACCGUGGUUAACCUCCUGGCCAACUCUAACUACACGUUGACGGUCGAGGCCCUCAACGGAGUGUCGGAGCUCCUGCCCAACAAGAGGUUCUACACACAGGUCAACGUGUCAACUAGCGUGCCAGAUCGGCGUUUUGAGCUAAAGACCGAGUUAUCAAUUCCAGGCAGUGUUCAGGAGGAGCACCUGAACACCUUAGCCUCUCACCUAACGCGAGUACUGAAGACGGAGGCCGCCGGCACUCCUCCCAAACGUUCCCGUCGCAUCAGUCUUCUGUGCCACACGCAUCCGACUACAGCAAGUCUUCCUUUUCCUCUUUCUCUUCCUGUUUUCUACAUCCUUUUCGCUUUAAAAUCUCUGAAGCUGAAGACGCACAUCUCCCUCACUAGCUUUAAGCACCAGCUGUCAGAGCAGUUUACAGAUCACUGCACCUGUACACAGCCCAUCUGGAAAUAGCCCAUCUAUCUACCUCAUCCCCAUACUGGUAUUUAUUUAUUUAUUUUGCUCCUUUGCACCCCAGUAUCUCUACCUGCACAUUCAUCUUCUGCCGAUCUACCAUUCCAGUGUUUAAUUGCUAUAUUGUAAUUACUUCGCCACCAUGGCCUAUUUAUUUCCUUAACUUACCUCAUUUGCACUCACUGUAUAUAGACUUUUUGUUUUCUUUUGUUCUACUGCAUUAUUGACUGUAUGUUUUGUUUAUUCCAUGUGUAACUCUGUGUUGUUGUAUGUGUCGAAUUGCUAUGCUUUAUCUUGGCCAGGUCACAGUUGCAAAUGAGAACUUGUUCUCAACUAGCUUACCUGGUUAAAUAAAGGUGAAAUAAAUCAAAUUAAUUUCCUUCUCUCCCAUUAUCUGUGCUGUUUUCUUUCUUUCUUUUCCCCCCUCUCUCCUUCUCUCUGUCGCUUUCCCUCUCUGUUCUUUUUCCCAUG